Molecule: ribosomal RNA, 433 nt
Filed under: uncultured bacterium
Lineage: Bacteria
Description: partial 16S ribosomal RNA
Rfam family: Bacterial small subunit ribosomal RNA
Source: RNAcentral
AGCGAACGCUGGCGGCAGGCCUAACACAUGCAAGUCGAACGAACCUUUCGGGGUUAGUGGCGGACGGGUGAGUAACACGUGGGAACGUGCCUUUAGGUUCGGAAUAACUCAGGGAAACUUGUGCUAAUACCGAAUGUGCCCUUCGGGGGAAAGAUUUAUCGCCUUUAGAGCGGCCUGCGUCUGAUUAGCUAGUUGGUUGAGGUAAUGGCUCACCAAGGCGACGAUCAGUAGCUGGUCUGAGAGGAUGAUCAGCCACAUUGGGACUGAGACACGGCCCAAACUCCUACGGGAGGCAGCAGUGGGGAAUCUUCGCAAUGGGCGAAAGCCUGACGCAGCCAUGCCGCGUGAAUGAUGAAGGUCUUAGGAUUGUAAAAUUCUUUCACCGGGGACGAUAAUGACGGUACCCGGAGAAGAAGCCCCGGCUAACUUCGUG